Molecule: ribosomal RNA, 359 nt
Filed under: uncultured soil bacterium
Lineage: Bacteria
Description: bacterial SSU rRNA
Rfam family: Bacterial small subunit ribosomal RNA
Source: RNAcentral
AGGACGAACGCUGGCGGCGUGCCUAAAACAUGCAAGUCGAACGAGAUAGCAAUAUCUAGUGGCGAACGGCGGAGUAAUACAUAAGCAACGUGCCCCGAAGACUGGGAUAGCGGACCGAAAGGUCCAGUAAUACCGGAUGUGGCCCACUUAGGACAUCUUAGGUGGAUUAAAUGGUUUUUCGCUUUCGGGAGCGGCUUAUGACCUAUCAGCUUGUUGGCGAGGUAACGGCUACACCAAGGCUACGACGGGUAGGGGGUCUGAGAGGAUGACUCCCCCCGAGUGGGACUGACGACGACCGGCCCACGACACCGUACGGGUCGGCAGCGAGUUGGAAUCGUGACACAAGUACGGGGAACCUG